This 134-nucleotide small RNA is filed under the name Escherichia coli. Its description in RNAcentral is "RtT sRNA". It matches the Rfam family "RtT RNA". Rfam says of the family: This family represents a bacterial cis-regulatory element known as RtT RNA. The exact function of RtT is unknown although it is thought that it may be involved in changing the cellular response in relation to amino acid starvation. The record is from RNAcentral. RNAcentral also lists the same sequence under 20 other names. Lineage: Bacteria; Pseudomonadati; Pseudomonadota; Gammaproteobacteria; Enterobacterales; Enterobacteriaceae.
UAGUCAUGUAGCCUAUGAGGAUGAGAACCUCCGGGGGCAGGGAGGUUCGACUCGAGCGAAGCGAGAGAACGUUGCGCCAGCAACGGCCCGCAGGGCGAGCCACGAAGUGGCGAGUAAUCCUCUAUCACCGACCA